GACAGAGGGUGCAAGCGUUGUUCGGAAUCAUUGGGCAUAAAGGGCGCGUAGGCGGUUUUGUAAGUCGAAUGUGAAAGCCCAGGGCUCAACCUUGGAAGUGCAUCCGAAACUGCGAAACUUGAAUCCUGGAGAGGGUGGUGGAAUUCCCAGUGUAGAGGUGAAAUUCGUAGAUAUUGGGAGGAACACCGGUGGCGAAGGCGACCACCUGGACAGAAAUUGACGCUGAGGCGCGAGAGCGUGGGGAGCAAACAGG
This 253-nucleotide ribosomal RNA is filed under the name uncultured bacterium. RNAcentral's name for it is "partial 16S ribosomal RNA". It matches the Rfam family "Bacterial small subunit ribosomal RNA", at positions 524 to 776 of the family's 1533-position model. The record is from RNAcentral.